GAGUUUGAUCUUGGCUCAGAUUGAACGCUGGCGGCAUGCCUUACACAUGCAAGUCGAACGGCAGCAUGAUCUAGCUCGCUAGAUUGAUGGCGAGUGGCGAACGGGUGAGUAAUACAUCGGAACGUGCCCUGUAGUGGGGGAUAACUAGUCGAAAGAUUAGCUAAUACCGCAUACGACCUGAGGGUGAAAGUGGGGGACCGCAAGGCCUCAUGCUAUAGGAGCGGCCGAUGUCUGGUUAGCUAGUUGGUGGGGUAAAGGCCCGACCAAGGCGACGAUCAGUAGCUGGUCUGAGAGGACGAUCAGCCACACUGGGACUGAGACACGGCCCAGACUCCUACGGGAGGCAGCAGUGGGGAAUUUUGGACAAUGGGCGAAAGCCUGAUCCAGCAAUGCCGCGUGUGUGAAGAAGGCCUCGG
Molecule: ribosomal RNA, 416 nt
Filed under: uncultured microorganism
Description: bacterial SSU rRNA
Rfam family: Bacterial small subunit ribosomal RNA
Source: RNAcentral